UAGAAGAUCUGUGCAGUAUCUAUCUUUGACUUCAAUUGUCAUUUGACAUACAAAAUGUGAUUGACAUUCUUUCAAGGGGAAAUACCAAUGUAGUACUUAAGAAUAUGGACCGGUCUCAACGUUUUAAACACAAGGAUAACCCAGCAAACAACAGAACUUCAAAUGUACCUAUUCAGUAUCCUAAUGAUUUUACUUAAAUUUUCCUACAGUGUCAACAAAUCCCUUAAAUAUUAAAACUCACAACAAAUCAUAGGAUUAAGGAAUAAUUUAUGGGGAAAACAAAAACCAUUCUGGAUCAACAAGAGCUGGUGGGAUCAAUUCUCAAAAGGGCAAUGAAAAAUGCAACACAGCUACUGUAAGUCCAUCAAACACUCGCAUUGGCUCCAUUAGGACAAGUCCAGGUCUAUCUGCUGCCUAAUCCUACUCAUCAUUCUGGCUCUCAUCUUUGACAAGCCUUAUCAUGUCAUCGAUUCUCAGAAUGGUAAUAGCUGCUUCUGUAGCAAACUGUAUAAUUUUUACUUUGCUCAUUGCAGGCUCAAUCACCCCAGCCUCCAAGUUAUUUCGCACAGUGCCCUUUGAUAGGUCCAGUCCCAUGCUUGACAAAUGCUUCUUAUCAGCUUUGGUUUGUGCAAGGUAGUGGCACGAACGUAGUUUAGAUACCAAGUCACUGGAAUCUUUUGCAGCGUUAUUUGCAAGAACCUUUGGUAUGACAAGUAAGGAUUCAGCAAAUUGUGCAAUAGCCAGCUGCUCCCUUGACCCAAGAGUAGUAGCUAGGUACUCCAAGUAGACACAUAAAGCAGCCUCAACAGCUCCACCACCAGCAACGACAGUUGUUGACUCUAGUGUUCUCUUCACAAUGCAUAAAGCAUCAUGGAGGGCCCUCUCCAUCUCGUCAAGCAUAAAGUCAUUUGCACCUCUAAGUAUUAAUGAAACCGAACUUGAGGUUUUGGUUCCUUUAACCAUAAUCACAUCAUCAUCAGCAAUUCGCUCCUCCACCACCUCAUCAGCAUGUCCAAGAAAUGAUGGUUCAAAAGUUUCUUCUCCUUCCAUAUCAGCAAAUGUUGAGACCACAGUUGCACCGGUUGCCUUAGCAACAUGGCGCAAAUCUUCUUUGCGAACACGUCUGACCGCAAUGGCACCAGCUUCCACAAAGUACUUCAGUGCCAUGUCAUCAAUUCCUUUUGAAGUCAAAACAACAUUUGCUCCCGCACUCAAAAGUUUUUGAAUCCGUUCUUUUGUCAUAUCAGCUUCUCUUUGGCGAAUCCUCUCAAGCUCUCGAGGAUCAGUUACCAACACUUGAACACCCAUCUGCAUUUUUGUCUUUUGAAGAUUGAAGUCAAGACAAGCAAUCCGUGCAGGCGCAACUCUCAGAGGCAUCCCUUGGGCAGCACGGCCAGUAUUCAGUGCAUAACCCUUCAAUAGAUAGCUAUCUUUUGC
RNAcentral lists this unclassified non-coding RNA (1437 nucleotides) under Hevea brasiliensis (rubber tree). The record is from RNAcentral. Lineage: Eukaryota; Viridiplantae; Streptophyta; Magnoliopsida; Malpighiales; Euphorbiaceae.